GAAGUAGAUCCUUUAAUAAUCAGAAGUCAUGUGCUUGCUUUGAAUAUAACCAGAACUGGCUUCAGAAACAUCAGGCACCCAAAUCUUUGUAAGGUUUUACUUUGUUCAUUUAUCAAGAGUUUGACAUAUGUUGUGCAGAUUUUGAAGUCGGGGGCUACAAAGCCAGAGGUUUGUUUUCCUUAAUGCAGCAUGCCGGAGACAAAGACACAGAAUAAGAUGGAAAAAUGCAUCUUUCAAGAAGACAUUCAAGUUUAAGACAAUGAGAGAGGAUGAAACAUUAAGGUUGCCAGGAAGAUGAAAGGACCCUAAUGGAGGAGUUUUCCAUAUUCCUGCCCAGAUUUGGCACGGAUAAACAUCUAUAAACUGAACAGCCAAUAACGUCCCUUAUUAUCAGGAUAAUGUUGUCCCUUAGAUCUUUUAUUAUUUAAAUAUGACUGCACUCCUCUCCUUUGUCCCCAGAUUAGCAGCCAGCAUAUAUGUGUUUCUGAUUACCUGAGGUGUGAAUUAGUUUCCUGUUAGCAUCCCUGCAAAUUUAUGCCAUAUUGUACCUGUUUUUAUGAAUCACGUUAAGCCCAUAGCCCCCAACUGGUAACACUGGAAGUUAGACAAAGAAAUUCUGGUCUCAUAUCAUGCACUUACACCCAGUCCAGUCUGUUUUUAUCAAAGUUGUGUCAGCGUUAUAAACGACUGCUAAUCAGUUUCUGUCAUGAGAGAAAUCAUUAACACAUGCGAAUUAAGAUGUAGGAAGCUUUUGUGGCCUCAGAGGGACAAAAUUAGAGAUGAAGGAGACUGAGAACAGGUUUAAAUUGAAAUUCAUGUACGGUGCAGAAGGACCAUAGUGGAUAUGUUCGAGCUAGCUCUUGUUCCUCAGCUGACCAGAACAUCUGUUGUCCUGUCUAAGUGGACACAAGAGAAUGAAGGACACAUUACGGUGACCGAAAUGUCAUCAAAUUUACACUUUUUAUGUAGUCCAAUGUCAUGGAUCUUGAUGGUAAUGUAUGAUAUUAGAUCUCAGAUAUACAUUUGAAGCAUGAUUCUUUUUUUACAUGUAAACAUAAACACUGGGUACAGUUGCCUUUAUAAGAAAGAGGGACAUUGAAAUGAUUGCUAAAAAUGAAAUGAUUACAACAGCAACAAUAGGCAUCAAGGGGGCUGGGCCCUUUUUCACCGUAGCAACUGUUCCCCUUGGCAACUGUGGAGAGUGUCAAUUAUAUUCAGGGUCCUUCAAUACCCCCAGGUUUCUCUUGCUCACUUGCACUUUUUGGCUCCGUAGAGCACCUGGGCCGGCGGUGACUGAUCACGGAGAGAACCAGGAACUGCUGACACGGCACAGACUGGACCUGCUCCGGCUACGGGUGUCUGGAUAGGUGGAGACAGGUUCACUUCUUGUUGGUGUGGUAGGAAAGUGCUGUGAACAUGGGGUCCGGCUCUUCUUCUUACGCCUACAAAGUCAUCUACCUGGAUGUAGAUGGUAAAGUGCAGAAGGUGCUUUUUAAUCGCCACUGCAGCCCAUGUGACAUCAAAGAGUUGCUGUGUUCUUCUUCCAACAUUCCCAGAAAUACAGCCAUAAUGAUGGUGGACCCUGAAGGUGCUCUCGUGUCGAUCGAUCCCACGAUGCCCCCCAACAACCCCAAAUCUCUGUACAAAGUCAUACCACUGUCCACCGGCCAACUGGGAGAAAAGGAGGACAUGUUUCAGAAUGUGCUCUUGCAGGUAGCAGAGCAGUUCAGCAGAGCAUUCAGGAUUAAUGAACUGAAAACCGAGGUGACCAAUCGCCUGGCUAUGCUGGAGAAGAGAGUUGAAUUGGAGGGGUUGAAGGUUGUGGAGAUUGAAAAGUGCAAAAACGACUUGAAGAAGUUGAGAGAUGAGGUGACAUCCAGAGCUGGUGGAAGAGUGAAUUGUCCGUGCAAGUACAAUUUUUCAGAUGAUGGAAAGAAGUUAACUCCCAGACGUGAUGUCCCGAGCUACCCAAAGUACACACUUUCUCAGGAGACCAUUGAAGCACUGAAGAAACCAACCUUUGAUGUUUGGCACUGGGAGCACAAUGAAAUGCUGAGCUGCCUGGAGUACAUGUACCACGACUUAGGCCUUGUGAAUGAGUUUAACAUGAACCCAAUCACUUUGAAACGCUGGCUGCUGGGCAUUCAGGAAAAUUAUCGCAGUAACCCCUUUCAUAAUUUCCGUCAUUGUUUCUGCGUGAGUCAGAUGAUGUAUGGCAUGAUCCACCUCUGCAACCUCCAGGAAAUGCUUACGCUAACAGAUCUGUGCAUUUUAAUGACUGCCGCCGUAUGUCAUGACUUGGACCACCCUGGAUACAACAAUACGUACCAAAUCAAUGCUCGCACUGAGUUGGCCGUGCGCUACAACGACAUCUCGCCCCUGGAGAACCAUCACUGUGCUGUGGCCUUCCAGAUACUCUUAUUGCCUGAGUGUAACAUAUUUGCCAACGUACAACCAGAAGCCUUUAAACAGAUCCGACAGGCUAUUAUCACAUUGAUUUUGGCCACGGACAUGGCCAGGCAUGGCGAGAUUCUGGACUCCUUUAAGCAUAAAGUGGACAAUUUCGAUUUCACCAAUGAGGAGCAUGUGACUUGCAUGAAGAUGGUCCUUAUCAAGUGCUGUGACAUCUCCAAUGAGGUCAGGCCUACAGAUGUGGCAGAGCCAUGGGUAGACUGUCUGCUGGAGGAAUACUUCAUACAGAGUGAUAGAGAAAAAUCUGAGGGGCUUCCUGUGGCCCCCUUUAUGGACAGAGACAAAGUAACCAAACCCACGGCUCAGAUCGGCUUCAUUAAGUUUGUCCUUAUCCCCAUGUUUGAAACUGUCAUGCAGCUCUUCCCUCAGAUUGAAGAGAUUAUGGUACAGCCACUCAGAGACUCACGCGACCAUUACGAGGAGCUGAAGCAAAUUGAUGAUGCCAUGACAGAGGCACUGAAGAAAAAAACUGAAAAUAUGUCAUUAGGAGGGAAGAAGAAAUAAGCACAGGCGGUAGCCGAAUGCUACUGUGGGUCUCACUUUUUGGACACGUCUGCACUGGGUGAGCAGCUCCAGCAGAAGAAAGUUUAAGAGCUCAGUGAAGUUCUUCUGUCUAUGUGCUCUGAUGGGCUUCCUGAGGAGGUCACAUAUACAUGGGCCACCCAGAAAGAAACACAUUACCUGGAAAUAAGAGCCACAGCUGGACUAUCUUCUCACCAAGAGGCUAUUCACUGUGUAAUAAGCCACUUCUAACACCGUAAACAUGCCCAGGUCCUUCUCACAGUGUGUGGAGCUCAUUAUUUCCACACAGGUCCUAAUAAAAAGCAAUAAAGCAUUAGAUGAAUAAAAAUA
This is a non-coding RNA of Misgurnus anguillicaudatus (oriental weatherfish), 3324 nucleotides long. The record is from RefSeq and is a predicted model, not a curated record. NCBI's taxonomy places the organism in Eukaryota, Metazoa, Chordata, Actinopteri, Cypriniformes, Cobitidae.